Molecule: transfer RNA, 72 nt
Filed under: Camelus bactrianus (Bactrian camel)
Lineage: Eukaryota; Metazoa; Chordata; Mammalia; Artiodactyla; Camelidae
Also listed under: 2 other names
Rfam family: tRNA
About the family: Transfer RNA (tRNA) molecules are approximately 80 nucleotides in length.
Source: Rfam by way of RNAcentral
GGGAAUAUAGCUCAGUGGUAGACUGUAUGGUUAGCAUGCAUGAGGUCCUGGGUUCAAUCCCCAGUACCUCCA